GAUGGCUUAAGAGUGAGGCUAGGGUAGUGGCUUCGCUGAGGAAGAGUGAUAGACCACCAGGUAUACAUAUCACUACAUGGAUCAUCCCAUUAAAUCUAUAAAACUUGAUAACGCUGAAUAGUUUAUGUCAAAGAGCUUAGAUGUCUACUACAUGUCUUUUGGAAUUAUGUUUAAGUAUCAUGUUCCACAUAUACAUACUCAAAAUGGUCUCGCAGAGUAUGUUAUUAAGUGCUUGCAAUGGUAACGAGGACUUUGGUUAUGCGCACCAAUUUACUUCUCUCUUUCUUGGUGGGCAUGCAAUAUAGGCUACUUCGCUUAGACUCAAGACUGGUCAUGAGGAUUUAAGGCCCGGUGCGAACAAAAAUUUUAGGCCCCUUAAUUUUUUUUCUUAAUUCAAAUAGAACGAUUUUUUUUGGGAGUUUCUAUUCAUACAUUCAAAAACGCUACUUGGACUUCCUUAUUUAAUUGACCUCCAAUUUACUCUUACAAAGAACUAAAAUGCCAUUUAUACCUCCCCAAUUUUUCCAAAAUCAACAAAAAUUCUCUUUUUUUUUUUAAUAGAAUCCAUUCAUACCUCUUUCAAAUUUUUUAGGAAUCUAACAAUAUAUUUUGAUUUCAAAAUCCAUUUAAUGGUUUAAACUUAUUAUUAGUUAUAUCGAGCCAAGCUUGUUUGUUCAGGCACAAUAACAAUUAGCAAUAAAUAAGUCCACUUUGACAUAUUUUUUCCCACAUAAGUCCACCCCAACAUUUUUACCCAUAUAAGUCCACCCAAGCCUAAAUAAGGUUUUGGUUUAAGUAUUGAAGUUCAACAUAUUUACAGACUGCCAUCCAACAAAAAAAAAUAGAUUUUCUCUUUUAUAUUUACAAAAAUGCCACUAAUGUAAAAAGUCAACAACCACUAUUUUCCCCGGAAAAGUCUCCGGUAGACCUCCGGCGAGGUCUCUGAUGGACUCCGGCCGACCUCCGGCAAUGUCUCCGGCCGAAUUCUGAUGAGGUUUUCAACGGUUACGAAAGCUACUACCGCCAGCAAGAAAAGCUACUAUCCCUAGCUACAAAAACUACUACCACAGACUACAAAAGCUACUACCGCCAGCAAGAAAAAUUACUAUCCCUAGCUACAAAGCUAUUAUCCCUAGCUAGAAAAGCUACUACCACCGACUAGAAAAGCUACUACCGCCAGUAAAAAAAGCUACUAUCCCGAACUAC
Molecule: long non-coding RNA, 1206 nt
Filed under: Fragaria vesca (wild strawberry)
Lineage: Eukaryota; Viridiplantae; Streptophyta; Magnoliopsida; Rosales; Rosaceae
Description: long non-coding RNA (FVES_LNC004822)
Source: RNAcentral